RNAcentral lists this ribosomal RNA (632 nucleotides) under uncultured Verrucomicrobiota bacterium. RNAcentral's name for it is "bacterial SSU rRNA". It matches the Rfam family "Bacterial small subunit ribosomal RNA", at positions 71 to 680 of the family's 1533-position model. Lineage: Bacteria; Pseudomonadati; Verrucomicrobiota. The record is from RNAcentral.
UCGGUGUAGCAAUACAUCGAGUGUGGAGCGGCGCAAGGGUGCGUAACACGUGGGUAAUUUGCCGUGAAGUUGGGGAUAACUCGCUGAAAGGCGAGCUAAUACCGAAUGUGGUUUUUGGAAGGCAUCUUCUGACAACUGAAGCUGGGGAUCGUAAGACCUGGCGCUUCAUGAUAAGCCCGCGGCCUAUCAGCUAGUUGGUGAGGUAACGGCUCACCAAGGCUAAGACGGGUAGCUGGUCUGAGAGGACGACCAGCCACACUGGAACUGAGACACGGUCCAGACACCUACGGGUGGCAGCAGUCGAGAAUUUUUCUCAAUGGGCGCAAGCCUGAAGGAGCGACGCCGCGUGGGGGAUGAAGGGUUUCGAUCCGUAAACCCCUGUCAUUCGUGAACAAUGGUUACGAUUGAAUAUUUCGUGACUUGAUAGUAACGGAAGAGGAAGGGACGGCUAACUCUGUGCCAGCAGCCGCGGUAAUACAGAGGUCCCGAGCGUUGUUCGGAUUCACUGGGCGUAAAGGGUGCGUAGGUGGCCUAAAAAGUUUGAUGUGAAAGCUCAGGGCUUAACCCUGAAAUGGCAUUGAAUACUGUUGGGCUGGAGGUUUGGAGAGGGGACUGGAAUUCUCGGUGUAGCA